GGAAGUAAGAGUCGUAACAAGGUCUCCGUAGGUGAACCUGCGGAGGGAUCAUUACAGAGUUCAUGCCCUACCGGGUAGAUCUCCCACCCUAUGUUAUUAUUACUUUGUUGCUUCGGCGGGCCGUUAGGCUCCGGCCCGACUACCGGCCCCGGCUGGUAAGCGCCCGCCAGAGGACCCAAAACCCUGAAUAUUAGUGUCGUCUGAGUACUAUAUAAUAGUUAAAACUUUCAACAACGGAUCUCUUGGUUCUG
Molecule: unclassified non-coding RNA, 251 nt
Filed under: plant metagenome
Description: partial contains small subunit ribosomal RNA, internal transcribed spacer 1, and 5.8S ribosomal RNA
Rfam family: Eukaryotic small subunit ribosomal RNA (bases 1-54)
Source: RNAcentral